This 231-nucleotide long non-coding RNA is filed under the name Mytilus galloprovincialis (Mediterranean mussel). Lineage: Eukaryota; Metazoa; Mollusca; Bivalvia; Mytilida; Mytilidae. The record is from RNAcentral.
GCGAUGUUCGUACAUGUAAGCGUAACACAACGUCGCGAAUAUUUCGUAACGUUCAAGGCAAAACAUCGACUAGAACGUUGUUUUUAAGCAAGUGCGACAUUCUUGUAAGACUCCGCAAAAUCGACGGGACUGUUUAACUUCUUAUUGAAAAUUGAUGUAUUUUACAUUUUUGAAAAGUUAAGAAAAAUAACAUUUAAAAAAAUAAUAAAAUUCUACCAUUAUACGAGCACU